This 1050-nucleotide ribosomal RNA is filed under the name Bacillus subtilis. RNAcentral's name for it is "bacterial SSU rRNA". It matches the Rfam family "Bacterial small subunit ribosomal RNA", at positions 136 to 1159 of the family's 1533-position model. The record is from RNAcentral. Lineage: Bacteria; Bacillati; Bacillota; Bacilli; Caryophanales; Bacillaceae.
GACUGGGAUAACUCCGGGAAACCGGGGCUAAUACCGGAUGGUUGUUUGAACCGCAGGGUUCAGACAUAAAAGGUGGCUUCGGCUACCACUUACAGAUGGACCCGCGGCGCACUAGCUAGUUGGUGAGGUAACGGCUCACCAAGGCAACGAUGCGUAGCCGACCUGAGAGGGUGAUCGGCCACACUGGGACUGAGACACGGCCCAGACUCCUACGGGAGGCAGCAGUAGGGAAUCUUCCGCAAUGGACGAAAGUCUGACGGAGCAACGCCGCGUGAGUGAUGAAGGUUUUCGGAUCGUAAAGCUCUGUUGUUAGGGAAGAACAAGUGCCGUUCAAAUAGGGCGGCACCUUGACGGUACCUAACCAGAAAGCCACGGCUAACUACGUGCCAGCAGCCGCGGUAAUACGUAGGUGGCAAGCGUUGUCCGGAAUUAUUGGGCGUAAAGGGCUCGCAGGCGGUUUCUUAAGUCUGAUGUGAAAGCCCCCGGCUCAACCGGGGAGGGUCAUUGGAAACUGGGGAACUUGAGUGCAGAAGAGGAGAGUGGAAUUCCACGUGUAGCGGUGAAAUGCGUAGAGAUGUGGAGGAACACCAGUGGCGAAGGCGACUCUCUGGUCUGUAACUGACGCUGAGGAGCGAAAGCGUGGGGAGCGAACAGGAUUAGAUACCCUGGUAGUCCACGCCGUAAACGAUGAGUGCUAAGUGUUAAGGGGGUUUCCGCCCCUUAGUGCUGCAGCUAACGCAUUAAGCACUCCGCCCUGGGGAGUACGGUCGCAAGACUGAAACUCAAAGGAAUUGACGGGGGCCCGCACAAGCGGUGGAGCAUGGUGGUUUAAUUCGAAGCAACGCGAAGAACCUUACCAGGUCUUGACAUCCUCUGACAAUCCUAGAAGAUAGGACGUCCCCUUCGGGGGCAAAGUGACAGGUGGUUGCAGGGUUGUCGUCAGCUCGUGUCGUGAAAAUGUUGGGGUUAAGUCCCGCAACGAACGCAACCCUUUGAUCUUAAUUUGCCAGCAUUUCAGUUUGGGCACUCCUAAGGGUGACUGCCCGGUGA